This 497-nucleotide ribosomal RNA is filed under the name uncultured bacterium. RNAcentral's name for it is "partial 16S ribosomal RNA". It matches the Rfam family "Bacterial small subunit ribosomal RNA", at positions 28 to 507 of the family's 1533-position model. The record is from RNAcentral.
GAUGAACGCUGGCGGCGUGCCUAAUACAUGCAAGUCGAGCGAACGGACGAGAAGCUUGCUCCUCUGACGUUAGCGGCGGACGGGUGAGUAACACGUGGAUAACCUACCUAUAAGACUGGGAUAACUUCGGGAAACCGGAGCUAAUACCGGAUAAUAUAUUGAACCGCAUGGUUCAAUAGUGAAAGACGGUUUUGCUGUCACUUAUAGAUGGAUCCGCGCCGCAUUAGCUAGUUGGUAAGGUAACGGCUUACCAAGGCAACGAUGCGUAGCCGACCUGAGAGGGUGAUCGGCCACACUGGAACUGAGACACGGUCCAGACUCCUACGGGAGGCAGCAGUAGGGAAUCUUCCGCAAUGGGCGAAAGCCUGACGGAGCAACGCCGCGUGAGUGAUGAAGGUCUUCGGAUCGUAAAACUCUGUUAUUAGGGAAGAACAAAUGUGUAAGUAACUGUGCACGUCUUGACGGUACCUAAUCAGAAAGCCACGGCUAACUACGUG